Molecule: ribosomal RNA, 266 nt
Filed under: Pseudomonas sp. 8M24
Lineage: Bacteria; Pseudomonadati; Pseudomonadota; Gammaproteobacteria; Pseudomonadales; Pseudomonadaceae
Description: partial 16S ribosomal RNA
Rfam family: Bacterial small subunit ribosomal RNA
Source: RNAcentral
GCGGCGGACGGGUGAGUAAUGCCUAGGAAUCUGCCUGGUAGUGGGGGACAACGUUUCGAAAGGAACGCUAAUACCGCAUACGUCCUACGGGAGAAAGCAGGGGACCUUCGGGCCUUGCGCUAUCAGAUGAGCCUAGGUCGGAUUAGCUAGUUGGUGAGGUAAUGGCUCACCAAGGCGACGAUCCGUAACUGGUCUGAGAGGAUGAUCAGUCACACUGGAACUGAGACACGGUCCAGACUCCUACGGGAGGCAGCAGUGGGGAAUAU